UUUUUUAGGAUGUAAAUUACGGACUGAAUUCACUUUUCUAGGAUGUGAACCAUAUAAAAAUCAAAUUUUUUUGUCCUCAUGUCCCAUGAAAUAAUUUUGAUUGAAACACAGUUCACAAGUUAAAGUGUACCCUUCAUUCAUUCCCAAGAAAAUAUUUCGAAUAGAACAUUGUUUGAGAGAGUGAUUAAAAAAUAAAAAAUAAAAAGAGAUAUCAAAUUAUAUAUUUAUACUGUCAUAACUACUCCAAUGGCCAAUUAAAAUAUGGUACUGGAUGGUGGCCAAAUAUUUAUAAGGUUCAAUAGUUAAAGUGCAAAUUGAUCGCACUCUAAAUAGUGAACUAUGUUUCAGUUCGCACUCUACAAUGUGAACUCUUUUUUUCAUGAUUUUUUCAUCUAGGGGAAGCAGACGUUGGGUUUGAGUUAAAAAUAUUGUCACUUGCUACUUAAAGUGCGAAAAGUGCUCGCGUCCUAGAAAACGAGGGGUUUAGUUUGGUAAUUUCAGAGGAUGUGUGAGGUUUUAUAGGGGGCGUGAAAAGUAACUCGCAAAUUUCUUUUUGCGCCCUCAUAAAUACUCCUACAUCUUGUAAAAUUUUCAAGUAGUGUUUUAACUUAUAACUUAGCAAGAUCUCAAAAAACACUAUAAACUAAUUGGAGAAGCUUGUUACCGAACACGUGUUGAACUUGGAAGGAAAAAUCGGCCACAAAGAGGAGGAGAAUUGCCGCCGCCGGCCGCCACAAGAGGAGGAAGGGGGGAUUCUCCAUUUUUUUUAAACAGGGGUGAAGAAAAUUUUUAAAAAAUGUCCAGACCGAUCGGGUUACCGAUUUAAACUCUNNNNNNNNNNNNNNNNNNNNNNNNNNNNNNNNNNNNNNNUAGCUUGCGCAACAGUUUUUUUUUUUUUUUUAAAAAAAUAUCUCUUACGUAUAUACUCCUAAUAUCCUAAAUGUGUUAAAAAAAUAAACAUAAAAGACAAUUUAAGAAAACCAAAAUGUGUAACCAAUUAGUCCACUAACAUAUAAAGAGGAGGAUCCAUUGACUUCAGGAGUAAGCCUCUAUUGACUUACUCCGCUUAAUAACUCGAUAUCGGUAUUAUAUUUCUUCAAUCCAACCGUUGAAUUCAAAUAUCUCAUUGAGUAAAUCAACUCCACAAAUUUUUAUAAAAAUUCAAAACCGUUUGAUACUUUUUCUGAUGACUUCAAUUGAACGUACGACAAACUUUUAAAAAAACCAUUGAAUUUCAAUAGUCUGAAUUCAUAACUACAUUUUUUGAAUUUUUAUAAAAAUUUGUGGAGUUGAUCUACUCAAUAAGAUCUUUGAAUUUAACGGUUGGAUUGAAAAAAUAUAAUGCUGAUAUCGAGUUAUUAAUCGGAGUAAGUUAAUGGAGACUUACUCUUGGAGUCAACGGAUCCCUCCUCACGUAUAAAAAUUAUCGUUUGAACAUCCAUAUUUUAUGGUUAAAAACUUAUACUGUAUUUUAUAAGUUAGAAAAAAUUAAAAACAAGUCUUAUAUGAUUGUAUAAUUUAGGCUUAAUUAAUAAAAUGGUCCCUUAAAGACAUUUUUGGUUUCAGAUUGGUCCCUUAAAGAAAAAAAGGUCCAAAUAGGUCCCUUAAAGAAAAAAAGUCCGAAUAGGUCCCUUAAAGACAUCUCCGUUAAUCAGUUUGGUCCUAUUUAGACCUCUUUUUAGAGACCAAACUGAUUAACGGAAAUGUCUUUAAGGGACCAUUUUACUAAUUAAGCCUAUAAUUUAAGACUUAUAUAAAUAAAAAGUAUUGUAUAGAAGAGUAGCAAUGUGUAUGAUGCAUAGGAGAAAGAAGUCUUAUACCUUGCACAAAUUUGUUUUAAUCAUCAUUAGAUUAUCACAUCAUAUAUUUGAUCAAAUUUAUGAUCCAAUAUUUUAUUUUAACCUGACGAGCCAACUCAUUCCACCCUAUUUUAGCGGAUUAUAUGUGGGGCAGAUUAAUUAAUUAUCAAAUUGAAUAUUUCAAUUCCCAAAGAAAAAGGGUUGAAUAGAUUAACUUGAUGGCUGAUGAAUCCAAUUUAUUUUGCCAUCUUUUUUUAAAUUUUUUAAACAAAUGGGGGUGUAGAAGGAUCUACGUACGACAUCCUAAGUAGAUUAAAAUAAAAGAAAAUAGUACAUAAACUAAGGGGACAUAAAAUCUCACCCAAUGAAUAAAAAAACACAACCCAACUUAGUAAAACAAAAAGAAAUUAAACCGCAAAUCUAAUCUAGAACAAACAAAUAACCACACACCACUUUCACGGUCCUGUGAACCUGCGUACAACCCUGAAACCAAAUUGAAAAAAAAGGUGAUGUGUGAAUCAACGAGCACUAAACUUAGAUCUUUGAUAACAGCAAAUUGAAUCGAUCGCCAACAAAUGAACCCAAAACAAUUUCAAGCCACAAAGUAAACCAAUAAUCAAAAAACAGAAAAUGAGAGAGCUUGAAGAAUAACUAGAAACAAACAAAUCCAUAUCAAGGAAAAGCGUGUAAACCCGGGAACAAAACAAACCCAAACUUUAUACCGCGACGCGACAAAGCGAAGAUUUGGCACAACAAACUAGUGGCAAACCAAAUAAACCGGAAAACUAUAUCCGUUAGCGAUGAAGGUUGUAGAGCCAGCGGAACUAGAGUUGUAAUUGGACCGUUUUUUAUCGGUUUUUGGUGAAUCAAAUAUCCGAACCAAUGAACUCUCGAUUGGUUCGGCUUUUGGUGUUUUUAAAAAUGAAACCGAACCAAACUAAUCGGUUUGGUUCAGAUACUUUAAUCGGUUUGCAGCGUUUUAUUUUUCGAUGGAUUCGCUGCUAUUAUUUUUUCCCGAUACAUUCCCUUUUAUUACUUUUUCAAUCACACAUAACACUUGAUGUAAUCAAUUAUCACCAUACUAUCAUCCAUAAGUUUUCAAAUACAAAAUACGAUCCAUUAGGGAUGAUUUUUUUAUGGCUUAAAUAACCAAUUCGUCCCUAUAUGUUUGUNNNNNNNNNNNNNNNNNNNNNNNNNNNNNNNNNNNNNNNNNNNNNNNNNNNNNNNNNNNNNNNNNNNNNNNNNNNNNNNNNNNNNNNNNNNNNNNNNNNNNNNNNNNNNNNNNNNNNNNNNNNNNNNNNNNNNNNNGUUUGUGAGUUUUUGGUUCUCGUCCCCGUGUUUUUUUUUUGUUUUAAAAAAUCCUUGAAUUCACAAAUCCUUUUGGUUUUGGUCCGUGAGGUCAAAUUCUAAUAAAAAAUGCAUAUGCGGCAAAUGGCGACUAACGUGGCAACAUGUGAUGUGGCAAGCGAGGAUGAUGUGUCAAAAAUGAUACUCAGUUAUCUACUUAGAGGACCAAAUCCAAAAAUGAAAUUUCAAAGAGAGAUCAAAUCCAAAAACGCGAAAUUGAACUCAAAAACAUAUUUUUCUUGUUUCUCUAAACCCAUAAAUUGCUCAUAUUUCUCUAAACCCAGCAAUAUGUGUUGAAGGUAUUAAAACGAUAAUAAUCAGAUCAAUCAAACCAAUCAGAACAUAAUAAUCACAAUAUAACCGUUGAUCAUGAAUAACGAAUGGCAAUGUCUGAGAGAGAUAACACAAACGGGUAAAAGGACAGAGCAUUCUACGGCGGAGCUGACGGCUACUAAAACAUCCUCGAUUGGGGUUUUUGCCUAGUGCCACGCGAAACCGACAACCGCACCAUCAACAUCAGAAGACUACAUCAUUCGUUGUCAGGAAAAGGUUUGGAAUUGGGCAAUAUGGAGGAAGGUUGUAGUUUGGUUUUAGCGAGAGGACAAAGUGUUUGUGAUUAAUUUUGCCAUCUAUUAUUAUUAUUAUAUAAAACAAGCUUUUUAUAUUCGUAAAAAAAUGCAUAUGGCCUAAAAAAAUCUUGUCCACCAAGGGUCUCAAUGAUAACAUGUUUGCCUUGAUCACGUGGUCUCGAAACAAUAACACCUUCAUUUCUUGCAAUGUUUGUAAAUGUGUUAUAUUUAAUGAAACCAACAUUAUGGUUUUUUGGUCCACAAAAGUCAUGAGAGAAGCAGGCUGAUCUCUUCGAGUUUGGCCCAAUGUUUUGUUCUCCGUUGAUUGUAGUGUAUGGAUGGAUGGAUAGAUAGAUAGAUAGAUAGAUAGAUAGAUAGAUAGAUAGACAUACAAAUAGAUAGAUAGACAGACAGACAGACUGAUAGAUAGAUAGAUAGACAGAUAGACAGACAGAUAGAUAGAUGGAUAGACAAACAGACAAAUAGAUAGAUAGAUAGAUAGAUAGACAUACAGAUAGAUAGAUAAAUAGAUAGAUAGAUAGAUAGACAUACAGAUAGAUAGAUGGAAAGACUGACAUACAAAUAGAUAGAUUUUUUCAAUAUAGAAUUUUUAAUAUAUUUUAAUACAAAAUUUAGGCAAAAUUACAUCGGUGGUCCCUUAACUUUAUUUUAGGUAACAUUUUCAUCCUUAACUGUUUUUCCCCAUUCAAUUUCGUUAUGUUUUUAAAUUUUGGGAAUGUUGGCAUUUUUUAUAUUACUCAUAACUGCAUAAAAAUUCAUUAAAAAAUCCGCAAAAUUCAUAACAUCAUAAAAAAAAUUAUAAAUUCAAAUGAAUUCAUCUUCUUCACUUUCUCUCUCAUCAAUCAACCAAACCGUAGACUCCAACAAGGAUUGCCCAUAUCAAGUACUUUCAGUCCUAUCAAGUCAGACCUCCAAUUUAAUGGGGCCUUUUUUUUUAAUAUUAUUUUUUUGAAGAUUUUUUUUAAUAUUGUAAUAGGUUCAAUCUUACUUUUUUCUAAAAUAAUAACCGAAAGAAAUGGAAAAGCCCAAACACAACUAUGAUUCAUCUAAUGGCUUAGAAAAAAUGUAAAGAGAAUAAAAAAUAAUUAAAAGACCUUACAAGUAGUAACCUCUGUUCUUCCAAGAACACUAGUUGUCUUUUUCUCCAACACAAUAAGUAGCAACUUGUCUCAAUCCACCAAACCUAUUCUCCUCUCUUCUGUCACCACUGGUAGCGCACAGCCGCACCUCCACCGCAGCAACAGUGACCUUCAAUGUCCACUUAUCACCUCUCUAAUUCUGUGAUUUUGAAGGUGAACAAAAGGUGAAAAGCAUAAUCGAAAAAGGACAAAUUAAACUCAAGGUAGGUUUGUUAAUUGUUCAAUUUUUCUCCUUUUGUGAUUGCAAAUUUAUUCUUCUUCUUUGCUAAUUUUUAAUUAUCUCUUUUUAAAUUGCAUUUUUUUAUUAAAGAUCCAUUUUUAACAUUUGAGUCGGUACUCUAGAUAGUCGGCGUCAUCCAUGGACUCCAACAAUAUUAAAUCCCACAUAAAAACUCAGAUCUUCAUCAUUUUUAAUUAAUCAACCUGCAAUGAACUUUUAUAACUACAAAACUCCAAAUUAAAAAGUUGAGAUAUUCUCAUCUUCAUCAUCCAAGAAUUCUUCCAAAAUUAAAUCUAAAAACAUAAAUCUUCCUCUGUCCAUAACACAAUCAAAUCUGAAAUAUGGGUUUCAAAAAACAAUUGUUAAAAUUAAUAUUAACAUUUAAAAGUGUGAAAAUUAAUAUUCUUAAUUUUCUAUAAUUAUUAUAAAAAUAUAUAAUUAAAUGAUUCAAUUGACUAAUCUUUUUUGAAAAUGUUUAAUGAUUCAAUUGAUAAAUUAAAGUUUUCAUUAGGUGGAUUGAUUAAAAAACAAAUUGUUGUGUAAUUUAAAAUUUAUUUAAUGUUUAAUCACCUCUCUUUUUUAAUAAAAAUUAAUCAUGUCACUUUAUUUUAAUAUAAAAUAUAAUAUUAUAUUGUACUAUAUUAUACCAAAUAAUAUUACUUUGUAAAAAAUAUUAAAAGAAUAAUAUAUGACACAUCAUGUUAUUAGAUGAUAGCUCUUAAAUUAUAAUUUAAUUUGAAGAAUAUUUUCAAACUUUCCAUAUAAACUCACAAUUACAUUAAGAAAACGUGUAAAAUUUAUAAUGCAUUUUAUUUUUUAAAAUAAAACAUAUAAUACCAUUUAUUAUUUACUUUUUAAUAAUAAAAAUAAUAUUUAAAUAAUACUUCAUCAGAUCAUAUAUAUAUAUAAGAGAGAGUUUACUUUUUAGAUUCAUUAAGAAUCUAAUGUAUCUGGAGCAUAUUUUGGUCCAAAUACAUUAAAUUCUUAAUGAAUCUAAAAAAUAAAUUUUCUCUUAUAUAUAGGACUGGAGGGAGUAUCAUUUAUAAGAUAAACACAUAGCUAAAAAUAAUAUAUAAAGUACAAGGUUGAGAUAAAAAAAAAUACCAAAACAUAAGAAAGAGAAAGGAAGUAACAUGUAAGUGUAUAAGUUCUUCUUUUUGUUGGAUGAUAAUGUAUUCUAUGUGUAUGUGCAUGUUUUUUAUUUGAUAAAUAAUAUUGAGUUGUUUGUUAAUUGCUCUCAUUUUAAUGGAAGUGUAUAAUCUUCUGAUCUAUGUUAAUUGAUUCUACAGGUGAUUGUAUAAAAUUGUUAACUUAAAUUUACAAGUAAUACUUAUCAAAGAUGGUGAAGAUCAGACAGUUUUAUACUAGGGUCCAGAAGAUUGAAAACGCCUUGUCUUGCAAUCUUUGCAACAAAUUUCUUAUUGAUGCUACCAAAAGCACCUGCUGCUUUCAUACUUAUGAGAAUUUCUAUUGAUUUAUAAACCUCUUCAAUCUUUUCUACAUUUUUUCAUUUUUGGUUAUAUGUAUAUAUUUUGGUUAAUAUUGUAUAAAUAAUUUUUAUAGGUAAAAAUAGGUUCAACUUAAUAAAUUUUAUAAAAAGAAACUUUAAUCAAAAAAUUUAAAAGAAAUUAAACAAAACAACUUUUAUAUGAACUAUGUUUAGUAUUUUCUUUUUCAUUUCAUAUUCUAAUAUAAGUAAUUAUAUCAUAUUUAAAUUAUAAUUAUGAUACCAUAUUUGUUUUUCAUUUAAUAUAAGUAAGAAGAUAUGUCUUAGUUGUUGCAACUUUUGAAAAAUCAUUUGUUCAAUUUUCUGAGUAUUAGUAUGAAAUAUAGUCACCUGACAUAACAUGUCUCAUUAUGUUUGUUGAUUUCGUUUGAAUAUGUGCAUUAGGGUUGAAGUACCCUUAUAUUUUGUUCAACUAGUAACCGACCCGUGCGAUGCACGGGUUUGGAAGAACGUCAUAUAUAUAACAAUCAUGGUUGUUGUCAAUCAUGGAUGCUAUGAGCCAAAUGAAGUUAGUCAUAAACAUACAAAAAUUAAUCAAAUUGGUUCAUUUGGCUGAACGCCAAACUUAUUUCAAUCAUGAAUGUUGUCAAUCAAGUGAGUUAAUCAUAUAUCAUUACAAAUAUAGGAUGUUUUAAAUUAAAGGCAUCAUAUAAGUUAAUCUUAAUUAAGUGGGUUAAACAUAAUUGAUCAUUGCAAACAUAAAUGAAGACCAUAUGCACACUUCAAGUGAAUCAUCACACCAAAUUUUAUAAUGGAACUUUCAUGACCUAUGACAUUUAUAGAAAGAUUACUACUAUUUGAGAAUAGAUAGGAGUGCUAUGGGACAUGAGAGUGCUAUUCAAAAUAUAGGUAGGAGAAACCAUUGUAUAUUAUGAUGAUAGAAGAAUUUUGUGAAGGACAUGAUAGCAAGUUCCAAAAUAGAAUUCAUCCUUCCUGUAUUCUUCAAUAUAUGAGACUUUUCUAGGUCAAUCUCAUUAUAUCCAAAUUCAAUUUACAAAAACAACCACAUAAAUUAUCAUUAUCAUUACAAUAUGAAGAAAAAAAAAAGUUUCAAUGCACAAUAAGGAUGCAAGAGUACAUUAAUUUGGUUGAUAACUUCAAGCUCCAGGUCCCUCUUUAGGCAAUCAUGUCGCAUAUAGAUCUAAGGCCCCAAACCAAAUUGAUAAUCUUCUAUCAUAUCCUACAAUCUAAAAUUCCCUGCAUAAAAUUUGGAAAUUCAUCAUAUCUGAGAUAAAAAGANN
Molecule: long non-coding RNA, 7843 nt
Filed under: Trifolium pratense (red clover)
Lineage: Eukaryota; Viridiplantae; Streptophyta; Magnoliopsida; Fabales; Fabaceae
Description: long non-coding RNA (TPRA_LNC010322)
Source: RNAcentral